RNAcentral lists this ribosomal RNA (468 nucleotides) under uncultured bacterium. Its description in RNAcentral is "partial 16S ribosomal RNA". It matches the Rfam family "Bacterial small subunit ribosomal RNA", at positions 28 to 507 of the family's 1533-position model. The record is from RNAcentral.
GACGAACGCUGGCGGCGUGCUUAACACAUGCAAGUCGAACGGAAAGGCCCUGCUUUUGUGGGGUGCUCGAGUGGCGAACGGGUGAGUAUCACGUGAGUAACCUGCCCUUGACUUUGGGAUAACUUCAGGAAACUGGGGCUAAUACCGGAUAGGAGCUCCUGCUGCAUGGUGUGGGUUGGAAAGUUUCGGCGGUUGGGGAUGGACUCGCGGCUUAUCAGCUUGUUGGUGGGGUAGUGGCUUACCAAGGCUUUGACGGGUAGCCGGCCUGGGAGGGUGACCGGCCACAUUGGGACUGGGAUACGGGCAAGACUCCUACGGGAGGCAGCAGUGGGAAAUAUUGCACAAUGGGCGGAAGCCUGAUGCAGCAACGCCGCGUGCGGGAUGACGGCCUUCGGGUUGUAAACCGCUUUCGACUGUGACGAAGCGUGAGUGACGGUAAUGGGUAAAGAAGCACCGGCUAACUACGUG